Long non-coding RNA from Calidris pugnax (ruff), 396 nucleotides. RefSeq lists it as uncharacterized. Lineage: Eukaryota; Metazoa; Chordata; Aves; Charadriiformes; Scolopacidae. The record is from RefSeq and is a predicted model, not a curated record. The transcript is spliced from 3 exons.
UCUACGAGGUUGAUGCGGAGUUUCACCCAGCCUGGACCAGAAGUACUUCUUUCAGAAUUAUCUAAUAUACUGAGCUAAUAAUAGAAUACUGCAAAAUCUUCUCUAAGUGCCUGAUACCUCAGUGGCCUAAUAAUUAACUUUCUGGGGACCGAGGCUUUGUUUUUAUCCAAGAAAAAUGUGUUCCGCCUAUCGACCAAUGAGCCCUGUUCUUGGCAGCACGUAUUUCCACAAGCAACAAUCUGCAGUGAUUAUGACAGAGCAAACUGCGAUACAAGAAAGCUAUCCAUAGAUGGCCAGAAAGAAGCUACCUGGAGCCUGGGAAUCCUGAUGUCCACUCCUCUAGUUAACCCUUUUCCUGAAUAUAGGAUUAUCCCAGCAGGAUUGAACCUCUUUUGU